This 253-nucleotide ribosomal RNA is filed under the name uncultured bacterium. Its description in RNAcentral is "partial 16S ribosomal RNA". It matches the Rfam family "Bacterial small subunit ribosomal RNA", at positions 524 to 776 of the family's 1533-position model. The record is from RNAcentral.
UACAGAGGGUGCGAGCGUUGUCCGGAAUCACUGGGCGUAAAGAGCUCGUAGGUGGCGGGUCACGUCGGGUGUGAAAGCCCGGGGCUUAACCCCGGGUCUGCAUUCGAUACGGGCUUGCUAGGGUCCGGCAGGGGAGACUGGAAUUCCUGGUGUAGCGGUGAAAUGCGCAGAUAUCAGGAGGAACACCGGUGGCGAAGGCGGGUCUCUGGGCCGGUACCGACGCUGAGGAGCGAAAGCGUGGGGAGCGAACAGG